RNA transcript from Brassica oleracea var. oleracea, 1486 nucleotides. It is a transcript of the gene named maltose excess protein 1, chloroplastic-like, with no coding region annotated. The record is from RefSeq and is a predicted model, not a curated record. Lineage: Eukaryota; Viridiplantae; Streptophyta; Magnoliopsida; Brassicales; Brassicaceae. The transcript is spliced from 9 exons.
AUGUCUCUCACUGGUCACCGCUUAUUGAUUCUCCCGACUCCUCCUCCUCCUCGCGCUUCCUUCGUCUCUACACCUCCCUUCUCCCGCCUCCGUCUGAAGCGUGCUUCUCCCGGUGGUGUUACCUCUUCUUCCGCCGUCGAUGGCUGCCGUGGCUUACCUCUGACUCGUUGUAACCCGAUCGUUUCAACUCGCCGCCGACUCGUCCCCGUUCGUGCAAUUGACUCAGACAUUCCUCAUCCGAUUAAAGAAUACGAAGAAUGGGACUCAUGGACUGCCAAGUUCUCCGGCGGAGCCAACGUCCCGUUUCUGAUGCUGCACUUACCGCAGAUCAUUCUCAAUGCUCAGAAUCUUUUGGCCGGAAACAACACAGCCCUCUCCGCCGUCCCAUGGCUGGGGAUGUUGACUGGUUUGUUAGGGAACCUUUCGUUGCUUUCUUAUUUCGCAAAGAAGAGAGAAAAGGAAGCAGCUGUGGUGCAAACACUUGGAGUUAUCUCCACCUACGUUGUCCUUGUGCAGCUCACGAUGGCUGAAGCCAUGCCUGUGCAGUAUUUUGUUGCUACUUCUGCCGUUGUGACGGUUGGUUUGGUGUUGAACUGUUUGUUCUAUUUUGGUAAGCUAGGGAUGACUGUGUGGAGACUGUGGGAAGACUUUAUCACUGUUGGUGGACUCUCCGUUCUUCCUCAAAUCAUGUGGUCAACUUUUGUCCCUCUGGUGCCAAAUAGUAUAUUGCCUGGGACGACUGCUUUUGUUAUUGCUGUAGCGGCUGUGAUCAUGGCUCGAACGGGGAAACUCUCAGAGGAAGGUGUUAGGUUUGUUGGGUCUUUAUCUGGAUGGACAGCAACACUUAUGUUCAUGUGGAUGCCAGUUUCCCAAAUGUGGACAAACUUCCUAAACCCAGACAACAUAAAAGGCUUAUCACCCAUCACAAUGGUACUUGCGAUGAUGGGAAACGGGCUUAUGAUCCCACGAGCAUUAUUUAUCCGCGAUUUGAUGUGGUUCACCGGUUCAAUGUGGGCAACUCUCUUUUAUGGAUAUGGGAACAUUCUGUGCUUAUACAUGUUAAACUGCACCAGCAAGUCAUUCUUUGCGGCUGCCACAAUUGGUUUGAUCUCAUGGAUAGGAGUUGCUUUGUGGAGAGAUGCAAUGGCUUAUGGUCACAACUCCCCGUUUAGAUCACUGAAGGAGCUGGUUUAUGGGCCGUAACACAAUAGAGUUAAAACUCCGUUUGCUUCAAGCUAGCAAGUACAUAAGGGUUACUUGUUUGUGUCAAGCACCUAUGGAAACAGCGACAAAAGCUCUGAAUCUAGGAAGAGAAUGGAACAAUGCACAACAACAGAUUCAAUCGGUGAAGAAAGUGAUACUUGCAUCAAGAAGAUCGACAGGAAACAAUGGUGAAAGCAGCACCUACACGACAUGUAGAUCAGAUGCGGCAUAUGAUAAGAGAUCAAAACGGGCAGGAAUCGCUUGGAUCUUCUCUAAUGGAAAC